This 330-nucleotide ribosomal RNA is filed under the name uncultured eukaryote. RNAcentral describes it as "partial 18S ribosomal RNA". It matches the Rfam family "Eukaryotic small subunit ribosomal RNA", at positions 1470 to 1797 of the family's 1831-position model. The record is from RNAcentral.
CCCUUAGAUGUUCUGGGCCGCACGCGCGCUACACUGAUGCAUUCAACGAGUCUAAAACCUGCUCUGAUAGGGGUGGGUAAUCUUUUGAAUGUGCAUCGUGAUUGGGAUAGAUGAUUGCAAUUUUUCAUCUUCAACGAGGAAUGCCUAGUAAACGCAAGUCAUCAGCUUGCAUUGAUUACGUCCCUGCCCUUUGUACACACCGCCCGUCGCUCCUACCGAUUGAAUGAUCCGAUGAAUAUCAUGGAUUGAGGAUGUAAGCAGGUUCGCCUGUCUUCAUCUUCGAGAAGUGAAGUAAAUCUUAUCAUUUAGAGGAAGGAGAAGUCGUAACAA